GCCAAAAACACUAAGGAAAAAUAAGAGAGAGUUCGGCCAAGGCAAGGAAAACAUAACUUCUUGAAAUUUCAUCCCAAAAAUUACUUUCUCUUAGUAUUCCUACUAUAUCAAGGGUCCUUUAUAACAUGGUAAACUUAUUUUGGAAGAUAGAAGGCUUAUUUGGUUGAUUUGAAGUUUUGGUUAAGUGAUGAAGUUAGAAGGAAAAGAUUUUGAUGGAAACGGGAAUUGAAGUUGGACAACCGUAAAAAGCCGAUAAGGUACCGAAGUUUGAUUUGCUGAUCCGACGGUUUAGGACAUCUGCUGUGUUAUUGACAGUGCUCCCUUGUUCGGAGCUUGUAUUUUGGUACUGACUUUAUCUUUGUAUAUUUGGAUAUGUUGGUCAGGGGUACGACGGGGCCCUGUCCCAUUUUAUGACUAUGCUAUCAUCUUUAGAGGUCUGUAGACAGAGUUAUGUUGUGGGUUUUGUAUAUAUGGUUUGGGUUUUAUAUGUUUUGUGACGGUCUAUCAACCCUCGUGCCUAUAUCUACUUUUAUGAUAUAUUUAGCAAUUUCUACUAAUCACUACAUAUGUUUAUUCGGUUAAAAAGGCUAAUUUGGGAUUAGGAUACGUUUGGGUGCCCAACUCGGGCACUAGUCGCGGCCUACAAGGUUGGUUCUUGACAAGUGUACUUCAUAUAAAUAGUGAGAUUCUU
Solanum dulcamara is the source of this 691-nucleotide long non-coding RNA. RefSeq lists it as uncharacterized. NCBI's taxonomy places the organism in Eukaryota, Viridiplantae, Streptophyta, Magnoliopsida, Solanales, Solanaceae. The transcript has 3 exons. The record is from RefSeq and is a predicted model, not a curated record.